This is an RNA transcript of Metopolophium dirhodum (rose-grain aphid), 2617 nucleotides long. It is a transcript of the gene named serine/arginine-rich splicing factor 1, with no coding region annotated. The transcript has 6 exons. The record is from RefSeq and is a predicted model, not a curated record. NCBI's taxonomy places the organism in Eukaryota, Metazoa, Arthropoda, Insecta, Hemiptera, Aphididae.
AGUCAAAACAAUGGUUUUUAUUGUAUUAUAAUUCCUAGAACAUAAAAACGUCAAUGGUUAUCCCGGCCAUAUAAUAAUUUAUUAUAAUAGUCGGAGCAUUAAAACGACUAAAAUAUCGAAGGCGAUUACGCGGGGCACAGUCCGCGCCAUUAUUAUCACCGUACGUAAACAUCGAUGUUGAAAAUAUCGUCGACGAUCGGUGAAUAUUAUUAUUGACUUUCCGAACGUGACAAUUAAAAACCGUAGUCCGUGUGUAUAAUACUAAAAUAUUAUAAAAAAUCGUCUGCCGUCCGCGUAUAUUGUGUUCGACGGGCCUCAGUGAAUAUUGCUGUUGUUGCUAUGUAACAGUUUUCGGGAAAUUCGCUCGUUUCAUUAUUUGUCAGACUUGCUUUUUCGACAUUAUCUCUAUCGACUAUCAACUAUCAAGCACCGCGCGCCCUCACUUUCGCAUCGCCGAGUGCCGACUGCCGCAGUGCCGAACCGCCGUCAACUGUCGAUAUCAAUUUACUAUCGUCUUCAGACAGGCGUCAUAAUAAUUGCAAUUAUUUUAGUCGUUUUCAAUACGCUUUUACAUUCCACCCCGGUCGCGCGACACCGAAACGAUUUUUAUCCGACAAAUCGUACAAGUGAUACACAUUUUUCGUCGCCCACUACCUCAGCCCGUUCCGGAAAAUGUCCAACAACGACUGUAGAAUUUACGUGGGAAACCUGCCGCCCGACAUACGCACGAAAGACAUACAAGAUUUGUUCUACAAAUUCGGUAAAGUGUUGUUCGUCGAUUUGAAAAAUCAGAGAGGACCGCCGUUUGCCUUUGUCGAGUUCGACGAUCCUAGAGAUGCAGAAGAUGCAGUUCAUGCUAGAGAUGGUUAUGAUUAUGAUGGCUACAGAUUACGUGUAGAGUUUCCACGUGGAAAUGGUCCACAUAGAAGUGGCGGCGGUGGUGGCAGUAGUAGUGGUGGGGGCGGUGGUGGUGGAAGUUAUAAUAGAGGAGGUGCUAGUGGUGGAAGCGGAAGAAGCAGAGGUCCACCAGCAAGGCGUUCUCAGUAUAGAGUACUUGUUACUGGAUUACCAGCGUCAGGAAGUUGGCAAGAUUUAAAAGAUCAUAUGCGUGAAGCAGGAGAUGUGUGUUAUGCAGAUGUAUACAAAGAUGGAUCCGGCGUAGUUGAGUUUUUACGUUAUGACGAUAUGAAAUAUGCUGUUCGUAAGCUUGAUGACUCGAGAUUCAGGUCUCACGAGGGUGAAGUUACAUAUAUUCGAGUAAAAGAUGAUUAUGGCGGUGGAAGCAGUCGGCGCAGUCGUGAUUAUAAUAGUCGCAGUCGUAGCCGCUCUGCUAGCUAUUCACCUAGAGAUCGUGGAACACCAACAUAUUCACCAGUUAGAAAAAGUCGUAGUUAUUCAAGAUCUCGUUCCCGUUCGUAAUAUUGAGGAUAACCAAAUGACUGCCUGUCUCAAGUCAAUGGAAAACAUUUUAAUGAUGAUAAUAAUGUAUUGCUUACUAUACUGGACAACAACCUUGCCCUCUUGUUUUUAAUCAGUGGACAUACAACAGAAUCCAUUCACUAAGUUAAUCAAUAUCACUGUACACUGGCCAUCUGAUCAAUACAUCAUAAAUUUUAUUGAAAACGUUUAAUGUAAUAAAUACAGACAAUUUACAAGAUGGUAACAUGGAUAAUUAAAAGAGUAAUAAUUCAAAUGAAAGAAGUGACUGGAGAAAGAAAUUAUAGGCGCUGCAAAUAUUUUUUGACUACUGUCCACAAAACUAUCACUCCAUUUUUUUUUAAAAUAUUAUUUUGACAAAUAUCUUUCAUACUUCAGUAAUAAGAACUUUUGAUUAUAUUCACAUUCCACACAUAAUGUCGAGGCAUUGAGUUAAAAAGUUAAUUUUAUUUUAACUUUUUAACUUAACUAGUUACUUUUGGGUUUUCAUUAACUGUUAACUUACUAAAAUUCUUUCUUAAUUAACGUGAAGUUAACGAGUUAAUUUUUCAUUUUAAGAAGUAAGUUAAGUUAAUUAAUUUUUUUUUUUUUUUUAUAAUAUUUCACUGUUUCAGUCCAUUUUGUUUUCAUGUCAAAAAAUAUGUAUCGUAAAUUGUUUAAAGUUAAAAAUGUGUAUCAUUCGAAUCUAACUUAUAUGGAAAUACUGUAUGAAGUAUUAACACUAUAUCCUAUAAUUUAGUUUUGGGUUGGAAAAAAAUUAAGUACGCUAGUGUUGUAUAAACAAAUUAACUUUUUUUUAACUUAAUAAAAAGUUAACAAAAAGCGUGUAUUAACUUUUAACUUAACUGAGUUAACCUAGAGUUAAAUUAACUUUUAACUUUAUGUUAUAGGUGCCUAUUAACUUAACUUAACUGAGUUAAAAAAAAUCAUUAACUUGCCCAGCCAUGCAUAAUGUGUACCUCUACUCCAACUUUUUUUCUAUUUUAGUUUCACUCGUAUUAACCUAUAAAAAAUCUAUACAAACAAAAGUUUUAUCACUUUUUUUUAAUGAUGUUACCAAGGUUAACCUGACGGAUUUAUAGAUUUUUGAUAAUUUCCCCUUUUCCAUCACGAGUUUUGACAUUGGACAUUACUUACAAGAACCCAGGAAUAAUAUUCAUUUUUUUUAUACUUAUUUAUU